Molecule: ribozyme, 73 nt
Filed under: unclassified sequences
Description: HDV ribozyme from F. prausnitzii
Rfam family: HDV ribozyme from F. prausnitzii
Source: RNAcentral
GCGCUCGAAUGAAUCACACAUCUCUUUGUGGUGAGUAGCAGGCAACGAUCUUAUGAUCGGCGAAGAUGUGAUG